RNAcentral lists this ribosomal RNA (288 nucleotides) under Heyndrickxia coagulans. RNAcentral's name for it is "partial 16S ribosomal RNA". It matches the Rfam family "Bacterial small subunit ribosomal RNA", at positions 1214 to 1501 of the family's 1533-position model. Lineage: Bacteria; Bacillati; Bacillota; Bacilli; Caryophanales; Bacillaceae. The record is from RNAcentral.
CUACACACGUCAUACAAUGGCUGGUACAAAGGGUUGCCAACCCGCGAGGGGGAGCUAAUCCCAUAAAGCCAGUCGUAGUCCGGAUCGCAGUCUGCAACUCGACUGCGUGAAGUCGGAAUCGCUAGUAAUCGUGGAUCAGAAUGUCACGGUGAAUACGUUCCCGGGUCUUGUACACACCGCCCGUCACACCAUGGGAGCGGGUCUCGCCAGAAGUAGGUAGCCUAACCGUAAGGAGGGCGCUUACCACGGCGGGGUUCGUGACUGGGGUGAAGUCGUAACAGGGUAACC